Molecule: ribosomal RNA, 506 nt
Filed under: uncultured bacterium
Lineage: Bacteria
Description: partial 16S ribosomal RNA
Rfam family: Bacterial small subunit ribosomal RNA
Source: RNAcentral
AGUGAACGCUGGCGGUAGGCCUAACACAUGCAAGUCGAACGGCAGCACAGAGGAGCUUGCUCCUUGGGUGGCGAGUGGCGGACGGGUGAGGAAUACAUCGGAAUCUACUCUGUCGUGGGGGAUAACGUAGGGAAACUUACGCUAAUACUGCAUACGACCUACGGGUGAAAGCAGGGGAUCUUCGGACCUUGCGCGAUUGAAUGAGCCGAGGUCGGAUUAGCUAGUUGGCGGGGUAAAGGCCCACCAAGGCGACGAUCCGUAGCUGGUCUGAGAGGAUGAUCAGCCACACUGGAACUGAGACACGGUCCAGACUCCUACGGGAGGCAGCAGUGGGGAAUAUUGGACAAUGGGCGCAAGCCUGAUCCAGCCAUACCGCGUGGGUGAAGAAGGCCUUCGGGUUGUAAAGCCCUUUUGUUGGGAAAGAAAUCCAUCUGGUUAAUACCCGGAUGGGAUGACGGUACCCAAAGAAUAAGCACCGGCUAACUUCGUGCCAGCCGCCGCGGUAA